CGAACGCUGGCGGCGUGCCUAANACAUGCAAGUCGAACGGGACUUAGUGGAAAGCGGCUUCGGCCAAUGGAAGCUAAGUUUAGUGGCGAACGGGUGAGUAACGCGUGAGAAACCUGCCUUUCAGUGGGGGACAACAGUUGGAAACGACUGCUAAUACCGCAUAAUGUAUCCGGGGGGCAUCCUCUGGAUACCAAAGCUUUAUCGCUAAUGGAUGGACUCGCGUCUGAUUAGAUAGUUGGUGAGGUAACGGCUCACCAAGUCGACGAUCAGUAGCCGAACUGAGAGGUUGAUCGGCCACAUUGGGACUGAGAUACGGCCCAGACUCCUACGGGAGGCAGCAGUGGGGAAUAUUGGGCAAUGGGGGAAACCCUGACCCAGCAACGCCGCGUGAAGGAAGAAGGCCUUCGGGUUGUAAACUUCUUUUACCAGGGACGAAGAACGUGACGGUACCUGGAGAAAAAGCAACGGCUAACUACGUG
Molecule: ribosomal RNA, 479 nt
Filed under: uncultured bacterium
Lineage: Bacteria
Description: bacterial SSU rRNA
Rfam family: Bacterial small subunit ribosomal RNA
Source: RNAcentral